GAGUUUGAUCCUGGUUCAGGACGAACGCUGGCGGCGUGCCUAACACAUGCAAGUCGAACGGCCUAUCGAGGUUCGAAGUUCGAGGCUCGAAGUUCGAUUAAGUAUGAAUUUGAGGUCUAUAGGUCUCAUAAAGAAAUACUUGAUUCGUGCAUCGAAUUUCUAACUUCGAACUUCGCGGGCAGUGGCGGACGGGUGAGUAACGCGUGGGUAACCUACCCAACAGACCGGGACAACACUUGGAAACGAGUGCUAAUACCGGAUAACCUAUGACUCCGGCAUCGGAGACAUAGGAAAGGUGGCCUCUAUAUAUAAGCUACCGUUGUAGGAUGGACCCGCGUCUGAUUAGCUAGUUGGUGGGGUAACGGCCUACCAAGGCAACGAUCAGUAGCCGGCCUGAGAGGGUGAACGGCCACACUGGGACUGAGACACGGCCCAGACUCCUACGGGAGGCAGCAGUGGGGAAUCUUCCGCAAUGGACGAAAGUCUGACGGAGCAACGCCGCGUGUAUGAUGAAGGCCUUCGGGUUGUAAAGUACUGUCUUUGGGGACGAAUGGUCGUUAUGAAAAUAUUGUAGCGACAUGACGGUACCCAAGAAGGAAGCCCCGGCUAACUACGUGCCAGCAGCCGCGGUAAUACGUAGGGGGCAAGCGUUGUCCGGAAUUAUUGGGCGUAAAGGGCGCGUAGGC
This 686-nucleotide ribosomal RNA is filed under the name uncultured Peptococcaceae bacterium. RNAcentral's name for it is "bacterial SSU rRNA". It matches the Rfam family "Bacterial small subunit ribosomal RNA", at positions 9 to 576 of the family's 1533-position model. Lineage: Bacteria; Bacillati; Bacillota; Clostridia; Eubacteriales; Peptococcaceae. The record is from RNAcentral.